UUCUAUUAUUAAUUAUAAAUUACCUUAUACUCGUAUAAAAUUUCGAUUUUCAAAUAGCAAACCCGAUUUUUUCCAUAUUAUUAGAUUUAUUUAUUUGAAUAGAAGUUUUUUGUUAAAUUUUUUUAAUUAUAUUAAGAUAAAGUAAGGUAAAUUAAAACGAAUUGGAUAGUUGAAAAUUUAAUUUUUCUCAUAGUAUAUUUAGCAAAUACAUAUAUAAAUAUAAAUGAAUCUAAAAAAAAACUAUAGUAAAUGAAAUUUAGACAACCAUAAAAAAAGUCAUCUACGAUAAAAGAUAAUAAUUAUUUCUAUCUAAAUUGGAUAUUCUCAAAAUCACUCUACAGAAAGAAUUUAUUUAAAAAAUAUUAAUACUUGAAAUUAUUUAUACUUUAAUUUUAGAGGAUUGUCAUAUUUGCGACAAUACAGGAGCCACAACAUACACAGAUGUGAGUUGUUUUAAACCAUUAUGUGUAAAUUGUCAUAAUAAAGUACGACUUCAAUCUACUCUAUGCUACGAAUGUAUGGAUGAUAAAAAAAAGCAGGAACUGGAAUUGAUGCGAAAUCGUGCGGUAUUUUAUAAUACAAAUCCUUACGAAGAAAACCCUUUUAAAAUAUAAUAAAGAGUAUAACGAUUGUUGGAAAAAAAACUACUAAAAUAAAAAUUGUUAAUUUUUUUUUUUUUUCAAAAUAAAAAUAUUAUUUAUUAAGCAGAAUAAUACAAAUUUCUUUAAAUGUUGAUUAUUAAUUUUUGUAAUAUAAAAUAUAUUGGUAUCCGG
Daktulosphaira vitifoliae (grape phylloxera) is the source of this 773-nucleotide long non-coding RNA. RefSeq lists it as uncharacterized. The record is from RefSeq and is a predicted model, not a curated record. The transcript is spliced from 2 exons. Lineage: Eukaryota; Metazoa; Arthropoda; Insecta; Hemiptera; Phylloxeridae.